Long non-coding RNA from Panicum virgatum (switchgrass), 466 nucleotides. RefSeq lists it as uncharacterized. Lineage: Eukaryota; Viridiplantae; Streptophyta; Magnoliopsida; Poales; Poaceae. The transcript is spliced from 2 exons. The record is from RefSeq and is a predicted model, not a curated record.
GUCGUUUCCGCCUCCGUCUUUUGAUUCCUGCGUCUAUUUCCGACUCUGGCCUGUGGUGAGUCAGGGCAGAGGUCUUGAUUUCUUCUUAAGGCGAUGACGGGGAAGAUACCGGCAUCACCGCCGCCAUAGAGUUCCAUCACCAGCUUGACGCCGCCCGCCCAGCCGCUUCCUCCAGUCUGUCCUCAGGUUAUUUUCAGGGAGACCUACUGGCUACGAUUUUGGUCAAUGUUGCAGCAUAAGGAGACGACAAAGGAUCUGUUCAUUAAGAUCAACACUUCUUUGGAGAUAAUAGCCUUAGAAAUGUUUGCGAGUCAUGGAUGGAAGUAUAAUAAUAGACUUUGUCAAGCUUAAUUUUUUUGUUCUCCUGUUAUUCAAAAGCUGGAAAAAUUGUAAUAAUUGAAUGUUAUGUACAUUAGAGUCUGGAAAAUUCCAUUAUCUAAAAAAAUAUUCCUUCCAAAGCCGAAAA